AGAGGUACCGUGAAGUGCACGACAUGCU
This 28-nucleotide non-coding RNA is filed under the name Mus musculus (house mouse). The record is from RNAcentral. Lineage: Eukaryota; Metazoa; Chordata; Mammalia; Rodentia; Muridae.